UCUUCCACAAUGGACGAAAGUCUGAUGGAGCAACGCCGCGUGAGCGAAGAAGGCUUUCGUAUCGUAAAUGUCUGUUGCGAGGGAAGAACAAGUACGUGAGUAAUUGCCUGUACCUUGACGGUACCUCGUCAGAAAGCCACGGCUCACUACGUUCACGCAGCCGCGGUAAUACGUAGGUUGCAAGCGUUGUCCGGAAUUAUUGGGCGUACAGCGCGCGCAGGCGGUCCUUUAAGUCUGAUGUGAAAGCCCACGGCUCAACCGUGGAGGGUCAUUGGAAACUGGAGGACUUGAGUACAGAAGAGGAAAGCGGAAUUCCACGUGUAGCGGUGAAAUGCGUAGAGAUGUGGAGGAACACCAGUGGCGAAGGCGGCUUUCUGGUCUGUAACUGACGCUGAGGCGCGAAAGCGUGGGGAGCAAAC
This 419-nucleotide ribosomal RNA is filed under the name uncultured bacterium. Its description in RNAcentral is "partial 16S ribosomal RNA". It matches the Rfam family "Bacterial small subunit ribosomal RNA", at positions 362 to 773 of the family's 1533-position model. The record is from RNAcentral.